This is a non-coding RNA of Chrysemys picta bellii (western painted turtle), 234 nucleotides long. Lineage: Eukaryota; Metazoa; Chordata; Testudines; Emydidae. The record is from RefSeq and is a predicted model, not a curated record.
GAGGACUUUCGAAAGUGGCUGGAACCAGCCUCUGGGGCAGCCCUGGGCUCUGCCCACACCAGCACCGGAGCCAGAGCCUGCAGGUCUUGCGUCAUUCUGCACCCAAAGGAGCUGAUGGUUGGGAUCCUGAACCCUAAACCUGUGUGACCUUGGUGCACCACAGAGGGGGAGUACAAUUUCAGUGGCCCUGAAACUGCGACAGUGGCAGGUGAAGGGAAGGUGAGUGAGAAUGAA